RNAcentral lists this ribosomal RNA (255 nucleotides) under uncultured Gardnerella sp. RNAcentral describes it as "partial 16S ribosomal RNA". It matches the Rfam family "Bacterial small subunit ribosomal RNA", at positions 99 to 349 of the family's 1533-position model. Lineage: Bacteria; Bacillati; Actinomycetota; Actinomycetes; Bifidobacteriales; Bifidobacteriaceae. The record is from RNAcentral.
CGAACGGGUGAGUAAUGCGUGACCAACCUGCCCCAUGCUCCAGAAUAGCUCUUGGAAACGGGUGGUAAUGCUGGAUGCUCCAACUUGACGCAUGUCUUGUUGGGAAAGUGUUUAGUGGCAUGGGAUGGGGUCGCGUCCUAUCAGCUUGUAGGCGGGGUAAUGGCCCACCUAGGCUUCGACGGGUAGCCGGCCUGAGAGGGCGGACGGCCACAUUGGGACUGAGAUACGGCCCAGACUCCUACGGGAGGCGCAGAC